Molecule: transfer RNA, 84 nt
Filed under: Candidatus Roizmanbacteria bacterium RIFOXYA1_FULL_41_12
Lineage: Bacteria; Candidatus Roizmaniibacteriota
Also listed under: 6 other names
Description: tRNA-Leu
Rfam family: tRNA
About the family: Transfer RNA (tRNA) molecules are approximately 80 nucleotides in length.
Source: RNAcentral
GCCGGGAUGUUGGAAUGGUAGACAAGCAGGACUUAAAAUCCUGUGUCCCAAAAGGGCGUGAGGGUUCGAGUCCCUCUCCCGGCA